Molecule: transfer RNA, 66 nt
Filed under: Psittacus erithacus (grey parrot)
Lineage: Eukaryota; Metazoa; Chordata; Aves; Psittaciformes; Psittacidae
Description: tRNA-Phe
Rfam family: tRNA
About the family: Transfer RNA (tRNA) molecules are approximately 80 nucleotides in length.
Source: RNAcentral
GUCCUUGUAGCUUAAAACAAAAGCAUGGCACUGAAGACGCCAAGACGGAUACCGCUCCCGAGGACA